CGCACUUUUAUCUCUUUUACAAUUCUUGCAGAACGCAAACUGUUCGUUGGCAUGCUAAAUAAGAAGCUGAACGAGAACGACGUGCGUAAGUUAUUCGAAGUUCACGGCGCCAUUGAAGAGUGCACAGUGCUGCGCGAUCAGAACGGCCAGAGCAAGGGUUGUGCCUUUGUCACAUUUGCGACCAAACACGCUGCCAUUUCAGCCAUUAAAGUGACCUUGAGUCAGAACAAAAUCAUGGAGGGCUGCACAUCGCCGCUGGUUGUUAAAUUUGCCGAUACACAAAAGGAGAAGGAGCAGAAGAAGAUACAGCAGAUACAGGCGAAUCUAUGGAAUCUGGCUACCAAUAUUAAUAUACCACUCGGCCAGACGCCCACCACAGUUUCCACACCGAUACUGCCGAACCCACCGCAACAACCGUCGCCGGUAAUGGGCGCCGAUGCUCUGACUCCCGCCAGCAUUCAGUUGCUGCAGCAGCUGCAAACAGUUGGACUGCAGCAACAGCUGCUUCAAGCUCUGACAGGCCUGGGUGCCGCUCAGCAAAAUAAUUCAUCGCAGGACACAACGAACGCCGCUGCUGGUCUAUUGAAUCCGCUUUCUGUACAGAACUUGGCAGCCAUUGCCGCCAUGACGCAACCGAGCCUGACCAAUGCGGCAACUUCGCCAGGCAGCGCACAGUUGACAAAUACAGCGGCACUUUUAUCAGCUCUGAUACGAAAAAAGGCGGCUGCUAAAACAACAGGGUCUGAUCCAAAUCCAUUGGCAUCGGCGUAUAUGUCAACAGCCGCUGGUUUACCGCAAUUUGGAAACACCACCGCACUGUCCACCUCACCGUUAGCCAGCGUUGCGCUGAGCGCCGCUGCGGCCGCUGCUGCGGGCAAGCAGAUUGAAGGUCCUGAAGGCUGCAAUCUGUUUAUCUAUCACUUGCCACAGGAGUUUACCGACACCGAUUUGGCUUCAACUUUCUUGCCAUUCGGGAACGUUAUCUCGGCAAAGGUGUUCAUUGAUAAGCAGACGAGUCUCUCGAAAUGUUUCGGUUUCGUUUCCUUCGAUAAUCCGGAGUCCGCACAGAUGGCCAUUAAGUCAAUGAACGGCUUCCAGGUGGGCACGAAGCGCUUGAAGGUGCAACUGAAGAAGCCCAAGGAUGCAUCCAAACCGUACUAAGGAGGAAGAAAUGCAGGAGCGCUUCAAUAAGAACAGAAAAUAAAGCUUAGAAUGAGAGAGUGUGGGAGAUCAAGAGAAAAACUAGAAUGGAAAAGAAUCCCGCUGAAGGAACAAACUUAACAAACUUAUAUUAACAACAACAACAACUAUAGCUAAAAGAGCAACAAUAAGAAAUGUUUACCCUUGAAAAAAAUAGAUCAACUCGAACUAAAUUGUCAAAUGGAGUAGUCCAAUGAAGAGUUACCCGUGUGGAGCGCGCGCGUUUAAAGUAAACCAAAAAGUCAAGAACCUUACGUUAAUCUAAGUAAACGUUUCUUCGAGUUGCCUAGAAUAUGACUAAUUUAAACCAAUUUCGAAGGCCAAGUAAAGUGAUGCUGCUAACGAGUCAAAAGUUGUUUGCCGUCGUUCUGUAUAGCACUUUGGUCCCAUUUAUAUUGUACAUACUAUGCUGCCCAUCAAAUUGCUGUCAUACAUAGAAAUUCGCAACAAGUGUAAAUUUUUAUAGCCUUGUAUACACGAACUGUUUGUAAAAAAAAACAAAAACAAAAA
Unclassified non-coding RNA from Drosophila navojoa, 1710 nucleotides. The record is from RefSeq and is a predicted model, not a curated record. NCBI's taxonomy places the organism in Eukaryota, Metazoa, Arthropoda, Insecta, Diptera, Drosophilidae.